Long non-coding RNA from Bombus huntii, 14186 nucleotides. RefSeq lists it as uncharacterized. The transcript has 2 exons. The record is from RefSeq and is a predicted model, not a curated record. Lineage: Eukaryota; Metazoa; Arthropoda; Insecta; Hymenoptera; Apidae.
GCUCCAUCCAGUUAUAUCGAUUCUGCGAGUGCAUGAAAAUUCAAAAGAAAGUCCCGUUUUAUUUUAUAUCUUCAUGAACAUUUGUCAAACGGGUUUCCACUAAUGGAAGACGAUCUAUUGACUCAGUGAAAACGGUACUCUAUCGAAAACCGGAUUACCUUCAGGCAAGAACCAAGAGAUUUGACAAGAUAAAGUUGCCAGUGUUGGCAACGUCAUUUACAAAAGUAAACAUCGGAAAUAUAUCCUCUGUAUUCCUUACCACCUACCGUUUCGAGGGAACUUCUAAGAAACUUUGUAACUCUCUUUUACUUGCUUUGCUUUUUCUUCCUUCGCUUGAAAGUAUCGCGAAAAACAUCUGAACACUUAGCAUGGAGUCUCCAACUCUAGGAUUACACUUAAACGUAUAGUAAUGCAACGAAUAACUGACACCGUUAAUCCGGUGACGAAAUAUAGGCUUACGAUAAAUAUCUUGUAACUUCUAUGUACACUUUUAAAUUGGUCUUCAGCUUUAUCAAUAUAAUCGUGAUAGUCGAGCCUCUGGUUAUAUUGUCAAUGACAUUUCAAAAUGUCUUACGAAAAGAAAUUUAAAUAUGUAUGCGCAAGCUAUUGUACCUUGAAAAAUGAAAAGAGACCAGGUAGGAAAUGUUAAUCAAGGAAGACGGUAUUUAACGUGGACGCAAUACGUUGGAAAACCGGUUGAAUCAGACGAGUUGGCAAAAGUAACGAGCCAGAUACCCAGGUUUUGCGUUGUACUCAACCGAAUUACGAUAACCGUGGCCUACGAUCGUAUUAGGCACAGCAGUCCUUCCUCGUCUGUGUCCUUUCACUCGAACCAGCUGCCAUGAACUACCUAAACGGUUUAAGCAGGUACUUACAAGUUAUUAGAAGGAAUAGCCCAUCAGUAAACUACAUGGUAUCUCACCUUACCGAAACCCCAUUAGGGGGUUGUAUCCAAACAGACGACAGGGGGGUAGAGGGGUAUGUAUCCAAAUAGACGACAGAGUUUCGGGGCAGUCGAAUGGGAACAACUUCGGACUUCGAACGGUACAAGUGGGCCACCUAUUUUCGGCGGCUCUCGAAUAAUUCAAUGCAGGCUGAGAAAAAUGUUGCGGCUGUAACAGUUGCUAAGGAUGUGACGUGACGUCGAGGAGCACCUUAAAUUUCACGAGAAACUACCUUGAACUUGCGAUCUACUUUACAGAGUCUGUCCUCAUCGCUUGUGCAAUCGAUUAUUGCGUAGAACGUUGCCCGAGUUAAUUACGAUUCUCUUUGAGCAGCUCAUUAGUAGCUUGUGUCAUAUAAAGAUGCGAUUCUCAGAUUAGAUUAACUCUCUGUCAAUGACAGAGCUGCAACGGUGUGAGGCGCACGGUUCGCGUAUCUGUGAGCUACGUGAAACCGCGUAAAUUCAAGUGUAACGCGUUCUCUGGUCGAUUUGUAAAUCGCACAGAAGAAUCCUUUCACUCAGUGACAACGGAUUGAUAUAGAUCAUCCUGUUGGAAACGAGUCAAACUGUUUGGCUUGAAGAGCUCGUCUCAGCUCAGGGAUUAAGUUAACGAAGAGAACUUUCCAUAGAAUUUUCGAAUGAAAUUUACGUGCAAAUCGAAUUGAGAAAUUUAAACGACAGUUUGAUAAAUAUACGCUACUGUCCAUAGGUAGGUCGGUAUUUACAAUUGGUGGAACUUGGUCAAGUGGUUUGUAUUUUUCUAGAAGCGAAUUAAACUUGGUUCUGUUCAUUUUUGGCUAUAUUUAAUCCGGAAUCGACGGUUCCUGUAUAUGAAAGACGAGAAUCGUAACAUUAUAAGACAGUUUUCAUAGAACAGCAUAUUGUUAUAAAAAAAUCAUUGUACCCUCCGAAAUCAUGAGAACGUGAUGCUUUUAAGAAUCAGAAUGCACGAGUACAUUCUUAGAAACUUAAACUAUAACUGACUUAGGUAAGAUCAAAGCGUCAAAGAUAAAUUGAAAACUUUUAUUCGAAUCUGCAAUAAUGAAUGUAAUCAAAUAUUUAUCAACGACAGUGUCGUACCUGUUCCACUUGUAUAGAGAAACAGGCAUUAUCCCAACAAAAAGUAUUCCGAGAAAAAUACGGAACGGUUCUAAAUUAUCGUGGAAGAAAAUGCAAAGUAAUUGAAAACACGCUAUAUCUUGAUCACGUGGACAUCGAUCUUUAUACGCUGCAUCGUCUGGCCCAGACACUGGCGAGCUUCGCCGCGACUUCCGUGUGGCGUUCACGCGCUGCCAUCGACGGAGCUUACGAAUUGCGCGUAAAACCAACGCACGCGAUUGCAUAAUGUGCUUGCACGAGUGCAACGGUGCACACGUGUCAGUGCGUGGUACGAUACCGUGCGACACCGUGGUACAACUGGCUGUUGCUAACUCGUGAAACCGCACCCUGUCUGUGGUGUCGUUUCACGAUUUUAAAACGCUUUCAGAACCGGGAGAAACGAGAGUCGAAAAGGCUCGCGAAUGUAACGCUAGAUCCAUUGAUUCACCGGAGAAACUUUUGGCAGAACGAUUUACCAAAAGUGACGCUAAUAUAUUCGUGAGUGCACCGCCGUUCGUGAGAAUUAGAGCACACACUUGCAGAAAAUGAGGCGAGCUUUAAGCGUUCUUAGGAAAUUAUUAAAAUCCUCGGGAAUUUAAUUUUAAGUAACUAGAAAUAUAGCGAAUAUCUGGAUUAAAGCGGUCGUUACAAGGUAUAAACCAGACAAGUAUAAUAUGUAAACUCCAUUCUUUUGAAUUAUAGUCACAGAAUUACGAAAGCGCAUAAAUAUUCGCGGUCUAAUUACCACAUUCUGCAUAAAAGCCGUAUAUAUCCUAACAUUUAUAAACGAGGCCGUAAGAACGUGCGAAUCGUACGUGGACGUUACAUAAACAAACAAAGAACGAGGAACUAACAACGUAGUAGUAUCCUGUGAUAAAAUGAAUCUCGACAACACUGACAAUGUCAUCGAUUGGUACGCGUACACACACCGUUUCGUGAUUCGGUCAGCCUAUCCCGUUCCUGUUUCCUGACUUCCUGUUUUUCUAACUCGAAAGCAGGGCCAAGCCCAUCAGGCGAAGCGAUCUAGCGAAUCCAAUGGCAAGCUGGUCGAAUUAGAUGGUAACGCCGAUCGCUAGAAAUACAUCACGAGUCGCGUACCUUUUGAUUCUAUCCGUGAUCGUGCUGCCAAAAGAACGUUUCCAACACCAGCCAAAAAUAAACUCGCGCUUCCGGUAGGCUUGCGCGCUGUUUCGCAGUGUUCACUACGAAAGACAGUGCAGAACGAGGAUCGGCGAAAAGAUACGUUCUCGAGCUUCUGCCUCGCACUCCACCCCGUUGUUCUCGUUUCCUCCAUUCCGUCUUUCUAUCGUGCACUUCCGCGAAAAUAAUAACGUCACUUUUACCGGAACGACAGAGAGAAAGGCAGAGAGACAGAGACAGAAAGGGAGGGAGAGAAGGUAAGAGACGAGACAAAUCAGAAUUAAGGAGCACUAGGACGCGACGAUCCAACACGCUUCUCAGACGGCAGUUUUUACGAAAAUCGAGAGUUCUCUCUCUCUCGUCCUCUCGCGAUUGACCUACCGCGUUCCACUUUUGCGGAGUACAGCCACGAAACUGGGUCGACUGGCCGAAGUAACAAGGGGUGCACGGUUUGCGGACGAAUCUAUCCCGGCUAGCAGUGUUGUGAUGAGAAGACAUUCUCAAACACCGACGACAGCUUUCAGAAUUAACCUACGAACUUUCCAGGGAUCUUAACAUAUACGAGCUCGCGAAAGUAUCCCAACACUCGCAACCUAGGCCAAUCUCUUGUAAAUGUACUGUAUAUGCCAUAGGAAAUAUUUUGGAAUUUCAUUAGCACCGCUAUGAGACUCGACGAUCAUGCGAAUAUAAUUAUAUUCGCGUUUUUCUAACACAAUAUAUAUCCAGUACAAGCGUGCACCUCGCAGAGAUGAGAAAUGACAUGGAAAAUAAAUAACGAACUUUCUAUAACGACAGAUGUAAGACACUGUUUUACCGGAAAUAACGGUGGAUUAAUUUACAACAAUUUGCCGUGAGAUGUAAUGCUUCGCAAGAUACCCGGCCGAAGACUGUUGGUAACGCUAAGUAAAGUUACCGAAGUGAAUGUUUUAUUCCGUUUGUGUAAUUUCGUAAGUCUGAUUGGCGGGAGAAAGUAGAAUCGCGCACCAUAUAAUAGCACGCAGUUUCCAUAAAGGAAAUUCCAAAUAAUUCACUGUGCGAACGAAUAUAGCGAAGUAUCCGAUUCUUUGUGAUACCGCCGAUUGCCAGUUGCCUUUCAGAGGCUGGUUUCCAAUCGAAUUUCACCACGAUAAUUAACAAGAUCAAAAUUAGUCGAUUAUAGGAAACUUCGAUCACGUAGAAAAUGAGCUGGUAGUUCUUUAAGAAGAAAAAUCAAUAAAUAGCAGGCCUCGUAAACUCAUACAACGAUAGGAUUUUCGCUAUACGCAGUCGAUACCUGUUUCCCCUCACAAUGUUCGACUCUCUAUUCGCGAUGAAACAGGUUCUCCGCUGCUGUGCCUCUCGUUUUCGCGUUUCCACCGGUAUCCUCGGUUAGAAUCGGAGUAGAAAAAACCGGAAGAUAUUCGCAGCGGCGCGCUUUAUCGCGAUAACACGGCCACGCGAAUGCAAAACAGCUGGAUGUGGUCUGACUGGGAAAACAGCGUUCACCGUUUCUAUCGAAUCGCGUGCAAACCGAAAACAGACAUCGGCGAUCUUUGCUACGCUUCGAGAUCUCUACGGAAGGACGGAAAGAGGCUCGUACCUGUUUCGUAUAUCUAAUACACACAGAGACCGCGACUAUCCAGUUUCACGAUGAUAAUCAACGCUGUAAGUGUAGAAUACAAUAUCGAAAUCCGAGACGGCCCCGAACGAGAUACAGCGGUGUCGUUUUGGAUUCUUUUCGCUACAUCCGCUCUGUUUUUGGCACGGUCGUGCGAGCACCCAUCCUCCUGCACUUAUCACUCGAGUACUGCCAGUCAGUGCGAAUUUAAAUGGCCUGACGGCUACAUAAAUCGAUUCACAGAGUGACAACAACCGGUGACGCUACGCUAACAUCAUGCGUCACUUGUUCAUCGAGCAACAGUUAAUUCGGUUUGUCUUCUCUUCAAAAUAAUGAUACCUUUUCUUGACGAUCUUCUAUCUUUUUAUAUAUCGUGCUCAGCGUAAUUAAAAAUUGCAAGAACAAAAUUGUAAUAUCAGAGUAACGAUAUUAAAAUGACGUAAAUUCGAUGGGUGGAACGAGUCUUUGCUCGAAUUCCAUCUCUUUAAUUACGUUGGAGAAACCAUCAAUUUGCAUAAAAAUCUACAGUCUGCUAAUGAAAGAUAUACUCGAAAGAAGUCGAUCGUUAAUGGACACUGUUCGAGUUUCUUUUUCAUCCGAGAUGAUCUCCCAACGAUAGUCGAUUUUCCUCGGUCGUCACUGCACUUUGAUAUCUUCUCAACGGAUCACACAAACGAUAUGGCAAUUCGUAAGGUAAAUUCGCGAAACGGGUUGAAAGCAGCGGAACACGAACAUUGCAGCAAGUUUCUCGUUAUCAUAGGAAAGUGUCAUGGAGCCUGGCAGCGACUAGACCGACGAAUAGCCGCGUUGUUUCGAGCCAGCUUACGCGGCGAAUAAACGACAGGCCUGCUGUGUUUUGCACGACAUGUCGUGCCGCAACGUGUCACACGGUGCGCCGCCUUUUACAUUGAUGAAUGUCUCGACGAGGGAAGGGCAUGACGUCAAUUCGCUGGAGGGUGGAAAAGGGCUCGACGAGGAUUUUUUUUAUAGCGUACAACCACUUCACCUGCUUCUCGCGUUCGAGUUACGCGAGUACGUACUAAAUGCUGCACCCUACACGAGCGUCCACUCGUCGUGCUCGUUUCCUCCUAGCAAGAAAUCACACCCUAUAAAUUAGACUGCAGAGGGAAGCAAACUCUGAUAAAUAAAAAGUCAUCGUUUCUCGACGAUCCAAUUAAUCAAACGAUGGUCGAUUGGUUGAGGGAUCUACGUUAACCAAACGAACUCGAACGAACGACGAUAACUAUGAGUCGACCAGCAGCGCAAUUACGUAAAAAUGCAUCCGCGUCCGGUGAACCUUUGGGGACUGAGAUGCCUCAAAAAAACGGUGCAAAGAGCGUCUUGUCGCGAGACAAAGGUUUACUAGAGUGGCUGGGGGACAAGCGAAGAGAAGAGAGAAUCUCAAAGGGGUAAUGAGGCCGGUGGGUGGAAAGUAGUGGGUGCAGAUCUAGGUUACCUGCAUAUUAUGCAACCAACACCACUGCAAUUCCGCGGUUGCACGUGCAAUCGUAGGCACAUGCACGGAGAUCAUUAACGACUCCGUGUUUCGACCGCUCCGUUCAAUUUCUAAUUAGCGUAUCGACGUUCCACGUACGGACUCUAUAAAUCUCCAGAAUUACGGAAUAAUCAUUGGCAAGAAUUUAUAGAAUACAUUAUCGCACCCAAGCAUCCAGACACGUGGUUAUUUUUGACAAGACGAAUUAUUAUCUAAUUAUUGGAUUGUUCGAAAAGCUGGCGGUAAAGCGUGCAAUGGCGUUUAAUAGGAUCAUAAAUUUAUCGCAUAAUGUGCAUCUAUAUCGUAUUUUUUACCAUGACAUCUUCAUGGUGAAUGGUAAAUAAGUUUCGACGAAAUCCGAAUGAAAGUUCGAAAUGGAAGAAAUAUAAAAAAAUUUAAUAGUACGUUCGAGUAACAAUUUAAAUCAAUAAUAAACAUUGCUCGAGUUCCUUAUAAUUUUCUGGCCAUUUCUCAGAUCUACCUUGCUCUGUGUAAGUGGCCAAUGUUUACGAACGACGGUGUAUGUUUAGAUCCAAGGUACGAGUGGGACCAACUCAUGAAAACCAGAGAACAACGAGGAUGGAAAAUGCAAGAUCUAAUCCUGAAAUAAGACUAAGAAGAAGCGAAUAUUUUUGGCGCGACGACGUAUCCUCGCGGUCCUUAAACGAGCUCAUAUCUUUGCCUCGUACUUUUGGCACGUACGUCGCUUCUUCGAACGUUAACGAUUCCUAGCAAUUUCUUCUCUUUUUCUCUUCCACGCCAAUGACCCAAUAAUACAGGCACGCGAGUGUUCCUCGUGCCUCGACAAAGAAACACGUGCGACUUUCAGCGGCUUCGAAUAACGAUCCGAGGUCGGUCUUUGUUGCCACGAUCAUUUAUGGGACGACAAAACACGUGGCGGGCGAAUUAUGUCAAAACAACGCGGGGGCGUUGAAUCCUAAACGGAGGACGAUGAACCGCGCUGUUUUGGACGGGCGCGCAAGAAAAUUCAAGGUGACGACCCAGGGUUCUUGUACGAUCCUCGACAAAACGUUCUCCCGUUUCUCGAAAUAAAUUUAUCGCGAAUUUCUCUCUCUCUCUCUCUCUCUUUUUCUUGCUUCGAAGCGCGUCAGACCGCGCCUGUUUCUCAAAUAGUCGCGCUCGCACGAAAAACAGUUCGAGGAAAUUUCGAAAGAUCGAAUCGAAUCCACUACUCGUCUAUACCGGCUUGCAAUUACGACAAACAAUUUAUCACGACUUUCACGAAUCUGCGAUUUAACGAUAAUUAUCGCAACAGCAGGUCGAAUAGAAUCGCGGUGAAAGCAAGCGAAACCGAUGGUUAUCGAAACGGUGGUUGGUGUGGCGAAGGAUAACCGUAAUAUCUGUGAUUCAUGCAACGCUCAUUUACUUCCUAUUUCCUAUAAGAAAAAUUUCUAAAGAUUCUUUAAUUCAUUAGAGGCCGAUCGUUUCAUCGGCAAUUUAUUUUCAGUAAACUUACGGUAUCGAGUCCUGUUUUCCAACGUCGUGGCUACGAAAGGCAAUCGCGCGAGUAUCGACUCUGCCUCUCUUCUCGCUUCGAUAUCAUUCGAUUUUCCAACAAUCGAAACUUCUGCGAACUUGUGCAAAUUUUCUUCUCUCUCAGCCUUCCAUUAUAAAUAAACGUAGAAUGAAUGCGACGCAAAUACAUUCUUUCGGUUUAAAUUUAGUAGAUCACUUGAUGAUAGUCGUAGACAGACGGUCUCUUUUCUUACGAUUUCCAACAUACAACGUGUAAAUCUUUUGUGAUCGAAUCGAGCCACAUGUUCAAAUACUUACGAACGGUAGCGUAUUAUCUUUCAACAAUGUCGCCUUCGCACAGCUUAUAAAUAUUAUUCCACUGCUUGGUCGUUCGCGUAUGUAUCUCAUACGAUUAAAAACGUAAUUCGUGAAACGAAAUAAUAGAAAUUCAUUCGAUCGAUAACAUCGAUUCCAUCUGUUAUUUGAAGCGCUAUCAGCGUACCGAAACGGUGAAAAACAGGCGUAAAGAUCGACGAAACAAUUACAAGGUAGAACAGGUCCGUUUCACAAUCGAAUCGUGCAGCAGCUAGCCAAGCCACGUUUUCCUCGAAACUGCAGAUUUCCGUCCAACUAGAUGGACAUUUCGUAUCAACCUUGACUAGCAGAACUCGUACGAGAGAGGCGCGAUAUCGCGACGUGGCCAAGGUGCAAUGCAAUUGCACAGGCUGCAUCGUCCCCGAACAAGGCUGCGGUAAACGGUCUCGUCUCUCAGAUAACACGUGCACCGCUAUCUUCUAUCUCGCAUGUAUCGAGCUUACAUAAGGCACCGCGGUAUUAUGUCUUGUCAACGACAACGGUGCAGCGUGAAGCGAUUAGUUACGAAACUGCCUGCGGAUAUAGAGACGAGUAAACGAAAUACGAGUACGUUCGAUGUGUGUAGUUUCGCCGAUCUUCUAGGCUCGAUACAGACGAGCGAUAUUUCUUUUUGCAAGCUAUCGUUUACGAGAAGAGGGUAACGCACGCGUCGCGGUAAAAUAAAACGCGCGAAAUACGUGGCGGAGUUGAAGAAAUGGAAAAAUUGGUGCGAUGUAUCGACGCUGAUGUUAGCAAAAAUUGAGAAUUUGAUCAAUCGGAUGAGAAUCUGUAUAAAGUUAGCUGAACAAAAGAAAUAACGAUGAGAAUUUUAGUGUAGAAUUUUGUAAGUGUUAACGCCAAGUUAAUCGAAUGCUACGUCAUUAGAUAGACAACGAUCCGGAUUGCAGAAUUUCAUAAACUUCGAUAUAAAGACAAAUAUUUCAAAGUGAUGUACUUUGAAAUAUGCUAUUCUGAAAUUGUGUAUUUUGAUAUAUAGGCUGUGCUAAAUUUAAAUAACACUAGCGUCGUGAAGCGUUAUCGUUACUUUCAUGCCACCCGAUGAUUGUUCAAAUAGGAGCUCGGGUAACCACAAACUAAGAUUACGUGAAAUUUUAUUGAUAUAAAUAACGAAGUGUGUCGCGUGUGCUGCCAUAUAGUCGUAUUUCUCCAUACGAUACAAUAAACCGCUAAAACGUCUAAUAACGUCUAAUAGAAUUCACUCGCCUGCAUCGAACGUUACUCCAGUCUUCUAUACAUUUUACUAAUUCGUUUUGUAGAUGGGAAAUUGAUGAUCGAGCGACGAGAGUACGCUGAGGUAAUGGUAGGUGCAAUGGUAAAGAGCGCAAAGAUGCACGAUAGAGUAAGGAUGUGCUACUUGCACGCGUGAAAGUGGAGCCACGCGAGGAAACUUCACGACUUUGCCGCGAUUAGUCCGAUGAGUCACCAUCGUGCUAGUUGUAGGAUCGCAAAAAUAUGAUAGACACUGCGAUACUGUAAUUAUUUCAUUAGAUACGAAGAAACGUGCACGUAGGAUAGUCCUUGACGCGUUCGCUUCAAUCGCAACAUCUACGCACGCUAGUCUUCGGGAAACAAGUUUUUACGAAUUCGGUACACGUGGAGAGAUAAAAGCUGAGAAAUACAAGUCACUGACUGCAUGACGAAAACGCGAUAAUCGGUUGUAGUCGAAGUUUUCAUUGCCACCGAUAAUCCAUGGAAUAAUUAUCGAUAAAGACAAAGACAAAUUGUCCAACUUAAGAAAAAGAAUUAUUUUCUAUUUAAUUUUCCUAUUUAAUUUUCGACAUAAUUGCGACAUUAACAGCACCGUAUGUUUACCUCGGCGCGUUCUUUGAAUCGUUGUAAAUCCGAUCGCGUCUUCUUAUUCCCAGCUCUUACGGGCUAUAAAUGGUAAAAAAAGUCUGUUUACUUGUUAGAAAGAAAAAGAAGCGAGGUCGAGACGUAGAUAUUCGUGUAGGGUUAAAUGCUGAAAACUCAUCGACCAGUAAAAAUCAUGGUACAUGUUCGACAACAGGGAAAAGGCAAAAGGGCCAGCGAUGACUUUCUCGAUUGAUGCAUUCUGUCGUCACAGAACGCACGAGUGUUCCGGUGCAUACGAACGCUCACUGAACACGUACACAUCCUGCUCGUACGAACGGUUCUUCGAUAAUGUGGGUCAGCUCGUUUACGCCGCCGGCUCUCGGCUUAUCUAGCUGUUAGAGCUGCAUAUACAUUUCAACGACUUAUUCGUAUCUGCAAGCUACUUGCAAAAAUAUCCUGAAUAAAAGAGAAGAACAGAACGGAGAAAAGAGAGAGAGAGAGAGAGAGAGAGAGACAAAGACAGGGCCAGAGAGACAGGGAGGAAGAAUUUUCAAUUCGCCAAGCUAAUGCGAAUCUCAUUGCUGGCGUGAACGUGCACGUUUGAUAAGAGGGCGAGAAAGAAGGAGGUCGAGAUCGUAUAAUUUCAUCGGUCGUAGCCCGGCGAUUUAUCGCCGGAUUGAAUAGAAGAUGCGUUACGAUCGGUACUUAUAUCGACACCACGAAUUACGACGCAGUGAGAAUAUUGGCACGUUUAUCGUUAACCCUUUUAACCGAAGCGAUUCUAGUGAACGCCCGAAUUAGCACUGGCUAAGUGGUUGAGUCGUUCUCUAAACUAAGAUUUAAAAGGUGUGAGCAAAGGAUUUCCGGGUUUUCACUGUUACCGCAUUGCGUACAGACUGGCAAACGACCACGUCGGCUAGUUAGUUGCACUUGCGAACGCGAUGGAUUUAAACGAGAUUGAAAGAGAUGACUGAUAAUUUCGACCGAGCCUCUGGCCACAGUCACGCGUUAUAGUCUUUACGUAAUACCUUUAAAUACACGUCGAAGCAAUUUAUUAAUUCUAUCGAACAAUAUUACAAGUGUUUGUUAGAUGGAAAAAAGGUUUCUUGCUACGUGAUCGAUGGAACACAACGUGUAGGGGAAGAGAAUAGCGUUGAGAUUUUGCAGAAACUCGCAAGAGUAUUCGAACGCUCGUAGACACGUUCGACGAAGAUGACGAUGAUGAUUAGCUGCGUCGUAUGAAACGUUUGGAAAUUCGAUUAACUAUCAUUUUGUUGAUAAUGUUUGAAACAUAAAACCUAUGUUAGGUAUUCGAUGCAAGUAUUUAUUAAAGGUAUUUAAAUUUUUAUACAUCCUCGGAUUGAUUCCAAAUUUGACCGAUAUAAUCAUGACGAUCGUGUCUCGUUUCAAUGUUAACGAAAGUUCGAAAUGUUUUAUAUUAAUACAUAUCAUAUAUGCGUAAGUGUUUUUUAUACAAGUGUUAAAUUACCUUCGGAAACUUCGCGUAUGUUGGUGCUACGUUUCGCAGAAUUUGAAUUAAUCCCGAGCGAAACUCACCGUGCUAUACGUGGCUUCCGAUUCAUUCUGAUUUCUGUUCAUAAUUAACCAGCGAAACUUAGAAGAGUUCCCGUGUAUAUAAACCGCGUUCGACUAUGAACGUGUAACAAAGCUUCGACCUUCGUUUGAUAUCAAUUUUGAUACCGUAUUAUGUGCAUGGAAAUGAUUCGUGUCACAAAUUAUUGUUGUCAACGAACGAUCAUAAACUCGAAUAUUUGUAGAUUGUCGGCUUGGUUCGGAGCUUGUGAAACGCGAUUACGAAAUACUUGACGCGAACACGUACGUUUGGAUAAUGGAACGAAAAACUGGAAGUGAUGGUUAUUAAGUGAAAGAAAACGAUGAUUAUUAAGUAAAAGAAACUGAUCGUUAACGGACUUUUUAUAAUUCGACGACCGUUAAACUGUUUACGAUGCAACUUUUUUUGGAGUAAAUCAAAUCAAUAAUAACUGACGUAAGUGAUGCCUACGUGCAAUCUUUAAAAUAAUGCGGCUGAUUGGCGUCAAUUGACGCGGAAGCUCGUUGAAUCCAUUCAACGACAGAAAAAAAUCCUAUUCUUCGGUUUUAUUCCGAUGGCAAAAAAGCUCUGCACAACUGUUACGACUUAGUCGUUCGCGUAGGUGCGAAUCGUUAAAGAGUUGCACAAGGUUACUUGUAGCGAGUACGCGAACGUGAUGACGAGGCCAAAACUAGCAACGAGAAACUGAUGCACCUGGAACGCAGGCAACCGAGACGAAACACACGUACCGCAGACGAAAAAACGCGUGCGUUACAUCAUUUCCUUAUCGAACGUAACUACGCUUCCUUUUAAACCGCUAUAUCAGAAGCAAAAGCUGCGGCUUAUCAGCGCGCUGAGAACGAUUAAAUGGCAUACUAUCGCAAUCUUAAUUGUCUCUUCCGAAAUCGGCUGACUUUAAUCCUGUAAACACGGAUACAUGUUUUUGAACUGUUGAAUAUUUACGUUGUCCAACAAUUGAUUUUCGACAUUUCUAAUGGCCGAAUGUUCAAUAUUCCUCAGCAUAGAAAUUUCGAAAUUUCGAAUUUCAAAUAUUCGCAUUUACAAAUCCUUUGUGGCCCGAAUGUCUAAUCCCUCGAUGUGAAUAUUUAAAUUUUCAAAUUAUGAAAUAUUUACAUUUCAAAUAUUUAAAACAAUACAAAUCCCUCGACUCGAUAAACUAACAAAUUUCCAGCGACAAAUUUCUCUCUUUUCUUCAAAUUUUCAAAUUCUCGUGUUAUAUACACGUUCCAACUUUUUAAUAUCUACAUUUUCAAAUUUUCAACAUUGAAACUUUCGAGCCGAGUAAUUAUCAAGACUGGAUUAUUUCCAAUCACACUAUAAUAAAUAUCAGUACGUAGGUAUGUUUUCUUUCGUAAUUGCCUUACUAUACACACCAGACUAGACCCACACACGUUUAUUACCGUAUUAAAAAUCUGACGCAAUGAACCAUCGUGACGCGUAGCACAGCCAGUGCAAAUUACGAAAACUGGAUAAAAGUCAACGUAAGAUUAAGAGAAAAGUACGUACUAACCAUCUUACGUAUCGAAGACACGUGUUAGAUCUAUUAAAUGGCCAGUAUUCACGUGCGUUUCGAUGCAACGAGAGAUUGACGCAACCCGUAAUCGAAAUUAAUAAAGAAAACGGAAGAUUUGAGGCACUGAUCUCCCUCCGAUCGAAAAGGAACAGAAGGUCAAAGUUAAUCUCGUCCACGUUCAUGAUUUAUAUCGGGUUAUAUUAAAGUAGAGGCACGCCGCUCACCCUCUAGUUUUCCACAUGUGCAUCCGAAUGCGUCACAAGCUUGUCGUAGCGAUUAUUUCGCAACGUGUCACGAAUCGAUCGAACAAUGUUUUCCACUUCUCGAUCGAAGAAUUUAAAGGAUGGUUUUUCGUAACGAGCGUUGUGUAAUUUGCAAGUGUUGGAUGUGAACACUCGAACGAGUAUUCAUUAUAUUCGAAUGAUUUCAACAUGUAAAAUAAUUCAGUCGUACGAAAAAAAAAACUACGUUGAUCCUAUAAUGCCAUAACUUGAAAAGUAUAGAAAAUCGAUGAUGUUACAGAUAUUGUUCUUUUAAAUUUACCCCGAAGCUUAAAAUUAAUUUAUAUCUAUUCUACGGUUAUUAAUAAUUUACGACAGCUCGAUUCUCGUUCAUUUGGCACAUUCGAUGGAAAAAGUUAAACACUCGUACAUUGAUAUCUAUCGUUCUCAAGAUUACUAAACUAUUAACGGAUAAAUAAGAUUCUCAUUUCUAAACAAUGAUGAAAAGCGUGACGUUAGAAUGAAAAAAAGAUUCAAGGUAACGAUGACACCACGACGCUUCAACUUUACAUCAGACUAUUUUAAUAGUUUCUCAAAGUCCCUAAAUUUCUAAAUGGAAAAUUACCGUGUGGUAUCUUUCAAUCAUUUGCGUAAAUUUCCUAAUGUAUCCUUGCGUAUAACAUCUAUCUAACUUAUCAGUCUACGUAAAUUACAUAUACUACGUACAUAUACAAUCAGAAAGAAAACUUGUAAUCUUGUAACGCGAAAAAUCCCAAUAGUCAAAGUAUACGUGUCUAACAUCUACCUAACUUAUCAGUAGAUCGUGGACUUUUAUGUGUUUAUAGGAAAUUUAAAAGUGCAAAUGUAUAUAGAAUAUGCGUGCUGUACAAAACUACAUGAAAUGUUAAAAAAAAAAAUAACAUACUUGUUACGUUUAAUAAAUGACACGAAUAGUUCUUUA